RNAcentral lists this ribosomal RNA (497 nucleotides) under uncultured bacterium. RNAcentral describes it as "partial 16S ribosomal RNA". It matches the Rfam family "Bacterial small subunit ribosomal RNA", at positions 28 to 507 of the family's 1533-position model. The record is from RNAcentral.
GACGAACGCUGGCGGCGUGCCUAAUACAUGCAAGUAGAACGCUGAAGAGAGGAGCUUGCUCUUCUUGGAUGAGUUGCGAACGGGUGAGUAACGCGUAGGUAACCUGCCUGGUAGCGGGGGAUAACUAUUGGAAACGAUAGCUAAUACCGCAUAAAAUUGAUUAUUGCAUGAUAAUUAAUUGAAAGAUGCAACUGCAUCACUACCAGAUGGACCUGCGUUGUAUUAGCUAGUUGGUGAGGUAACGGCUCACCAAGGCGACGAUACAUAGCCGACCUGAGAGGGUGAGCGGCCACACUGGGAGGGAGACACGGCCCAGACUCCUACGGGAGGCAGCAGUAGGGAAUCGUCGGCAAUGGGGGGAACCCUGACCGAGCAACGCCGCGUGAGUGAAGAAGGUUUUCGGAUCGUAAAGCUCUGUUGUAAGAGAAGAACGGGUGUGAGAGUGGAAAGUUCACACUGUGACGGUAUCUUACCAGAAAGGGACGGCUAACUACGUG